CUUGACAACGGAUAUCUCGGCUCUCGCAUCAAUGAAGAACGUAGUGAAAUGCGAUACUUGGUGUUAAUUGCAGAAUCUCGUGAACCAUUGAGUAUUUGAACGCAAGUUGCGCCC
RNAcentral lists this ribosomal RNA (114 nucleotides) under Begonia formosana. Its description in RNAcentral is "5.8S ribosomal RNA". It matches the Rfam family "5.8S ribosomal RNA", at positions 5 to 118 of the family's 154-position model. From Rfam's summary of the family: 5.8S ribosomal RNA (5.8S rRNA) is a component of the large subunit of the eukaryotic ribosome. It is transcribed by RNA polymerase I as part of the 45S precursor that also contains 18S and 28S rRNA. The record is from RNAcentral. Lineage: Eukaryota; Viridiplantae; Streptophyta; Magnoliopsida; Cucurbitales; Begoniaceae.